UACGGAGGAUCCAAGCGUUAACCGGAAUCAUUGGGCUUAAAGGGCCCGUAGGUGGCUUGUUAAGUCAGAGGUGAAAUCCUGCAGCUCAACUGUAGAAUUGCCUUUGAUACUGGCUAUCUUGAAUCAAUGUGAGGAAGUUAGAAUAUGUAGUGUAGCGGUGAAAUGCAUAGAUAUUACAUAGAAUACCAAUUGCGAAGGCAGAUCACUAACAUUGCAUUGACACUGAUGGACGAAAGCGUGGGGAGCGAACAGG
RNAcentral lists this unclassified non-coding RNA (253 nucleotides) under uncultured Flavobacteriaceae bacterium. RNAcentral describes it as "contains 16S-23S intergenic spacer region". It matches the Rfam family "Bacterial small subunit ribosomal RNA", at positions 524 to 776 of the family's 1533-position model. Lineage: Bacteria; Pseudomonadati; Bacteroidota; Flavobacteriia; Flavobacteriales; Flavobacteriaceae. The record is from RNAcentral.